Molecule: transfer RNA, 121 nt
Organism: Candida albicans SC5314
Lineage: Eukaryota; Fungi; Ascomycota; Pichiomycetes; Serinales; Debaryomycetaceae
Rfam family: tRNA
About the family: Transfer RNA (tRNA) molecules are approximately 80 nucleotides in length. Their secondary structure includes four short double-helical elements and three loops (D, anti-codon, and T loops).
Source: Rfam
GACUGGAUGGCCGAGCGGUCAAGGCGCCAGGGUAAGGCGGCGGUAAAUCUUAUCGCGUAACGUUUACCACAACAAUCCUGGUCUACGAAAGUGGGCGCGAGUUCGAAUCUCGUUUCAGUCA